UCCUGAGACUGACUGAACGAACCAUCGUCCUGCCGCGGUCCGCUUUCCUUUUCCUAAACCCUAGCCGGAGCUGCCCUGACACCCUGGAAGCGAGAGGGAAUGCGAUCUCCAGCCAUGGCUAUCUUCAAGGGCUCGUGCUGCAUCACAUCAACUACCGCUUUCGCGUCAUUCGUAGUCGUCCAGAAGGACCAGAACGAUCUCCACUUCCCGGGCAAAUUAUGGUCUUCGACCGAGAUGAAGUGACGAACCUUGUUAUCGGCUAUCGCAUGAAGUUCUCGAAUAUGCUUCCUACAUUGGUAGGCUCUACAAAGCCUAGCGAACAGAAUGAGGACCGCGGCACCUUCGUCCUUGCAUGACCGCUCUGGGGAUACAACGGCAUAUCACGCUCCAGUUGGUGCCUAGUUGUCAGCGCCGCUUGCAGCUUGCCCUCUGGUUGUUCGCAUACCUGUGCCAGGGCAGAUGCCUGUAUUCCCUAGCCUGCUCAUAUGCGCAAGUUCAGUUUGCUGCCAUGCCUGGCACUCUACCACUGCCUUUCUUGGCCCCAACACCAUAGUUUGGCGGAUGCAUGUUGGGGACCGCUUCAGACGACGAGACAUGUUGAUUUUUGAAGAAGAUUUCAACUACAUGUUUUGUUCUGUCAUGUUGGUGUUGUUAGGAGUCCUACAUCCAAAGGUAGGGAGGUCAUAAAGGGAUUUAUAACCAAGUCACGCCAUAUACAUCUUGCACAUGGUGCAUGGAUGUGACCGUGCAUGAGUUUGUGUUAGCCAACACACACUUGGGCGGCCGGGGUGUGCACAUUACCGGCUUGGACGUUGGUUGUCGGAUAUUGGGCGGGUUGGCACAUUUUGUUCACUGUUGGUGACAAUAUUUUUUCAAAGAGGCUUGCUGUUGCUUCAAUCAGGUAAACUUCCUCUCUAACAUUGCUUCUAUUUUACUUGUAUUAGUUUCAUUUUACACUGUAUUGGUUUGUUGUUUGAUUUUAUUGGUUAAAGUUCUCUUGGAUCAAUUCAGUUAUAACAACUUUAGAGAGAAUAGGUCAUUUAAUUCUGUAAAAAGGUGAAGGCAAACCUUCUGAUCAUGACUUUGCCAACAAAUAAAUGUUUGGUCAACAGCUUUAGGUCUCUUUUUUACAUAUAGAAUUGGUCUUGAUUCCUCUUAUAAACUAGAGUUUAAAUGUAUUAAGACCCUUGCAGAGUUCAAACAGAGGGAUUAUUUAUGUGAUGAACAUAUUCUUUUACAUGGACACAUUACAACUGUUUACAAGGGAUCAAACAGAGUAAAACGAAUAUUGUCAUGACAGAAAGUUUCAACUCUAUAAUUUUUUUAUUUUUGCUUUGAUAUUUUUCAAAGAUAUUAUUUGUGCAAAAAAAAAACAUAGUUUAAAUAGUCACUAUUCUCUCUAAACUUGUUCUGAACAAUUUAAUAAAAAUCUAUUAAGGGACAAAUUUAACUGAGAGCCCAAAAUCAAAACAAGAACGGACCCUUGCAAUGUAAAUCAAGUGUAAUCAUUGAUAAAAUAGAAACAAAACUAGAGAGAAAGUUUAUCUGGUUGAAGUAUUGGCAAGUCUAUUCUCUUUAGAGAGUAUCUGGUUGAAGUUUAUAUGAAUUUCCUAUGAGAUCCAACAAUCAAUUUGCCUUACAUAGGUGCACGCCAAGAGGUAAAACAAAUAUACUGUUAAUCACCAAAGAGAGCUCCCAAUUUUUCAAGUCAUGGAUUGGAUUCAUUCAAGGGAGCUGUUCAACGAUAGGACUGAUCUAACUAUGAAUUCAUCCAAGACUGAUACAUUGGAAUUGAGAAAAACUGGAUACAAAAAGGGUCCUUUUCAAAGUGAUCUUUUUUUUUUAAAAAAAAAGGUAGAAAUAUUUUUCUAAAAACUCGUUCUUGUGUGUAUGGGCUUGGCUCCAUGUGUUUGUGUGUGCGUACAUGAUUGGCCAAGCCAACCCUCACCCAUGUAUAUCCAGGGCCCAUUCAAGGGAUUUUUUAUAAGUUUGUUUAUGCCUCAUCUAUUUUUUGGAUAUGGGACUUAAAUCAACCACAAACCAUGAUUCGAAUAAGCCAUUUAGUUGAAAUCUCCUCUUAAAACCCUAGGUGGUCCUUUAUCUAGGGAUGAGAUCCAACAUGCCUGUUUUAAUGCCACCAUUGGUGCGUAUUUCAGUCCUAUGUUUUCAAAUGCCAACAAGAUUGAGGAUUCUACCAUAGUUUGCCUGGCACACAGGUCCCUGUGUUUGUCCCACCGCAACCUGGAUACAACCUCCACCUUCUCUGAAGCAGCGGUAUCAUGGACAAAAAUCAGCAGUCCAUUAGCUAGCUUGAAAAGUAAUCAUCAUAAUUGUGUGGAAUAAUAUCUGCCAUUGCUGAUGUCUACCUUGUUUAUUUCCUGACUGUCUCUCCAACAGUAGUUAUUAUGAUUUGGAAUUCAGAAUAGAGAAAACAGGUAAAAAGAGUAUUGAAUAGGAAAACAUAUAGGGUUUAGACUUUAGAAGAUAAAGCUUACAAGGAGUUAACUAUGUUACCUGGAAAGUAGAAAAUUUGUUUGGUGAUUGUGAAUUCUUCUUUUAUAUUUUCUUGUCAUCUCACCGAUGGAAAGUUUCUUUUCACUCUUCCAAUUGAUAAUUACAUUGUUUUGUUCUUCCUGUUUUUCCUGAUAUAAGACCAAAUUGUUAUACCAAAAUAGAGCUAAUGUGGCAACGGACAUAAAAGAUCUUGUGCUAGUUUUUAGGGUUUGAAGGACGAGGCUUGUGUGGUAAAUUGACAGAGCUGCAUCUUAUUUUGCAUGCUAUAGUGGAGAUGGUGGUCACUUCAUUUUUUUUGCUUAUGCUAGAGGAGCUUCCGUACACUUAAGGCUGGUUAGAAUAUGAACUGAUUGGGGGAAAAUUAUGCAUAUAACAGUGCAGUUUUUGUUGUUUUUGAAUUGCUUUUCCUUUUUUUUUUCUGCCUGAUUCCUAUAAUUACUUAUUAAGUUUAUAUCUUUUCUUUGAAUCUGAUUUCGCUGAUUGGUUGAUUGCUUUUUAAAUUUGCCUCAGUCCAUGGUUGUGGGGUUCUUUGGAAUUGGAAAUUUUUACCUGCAUUCCAUUUUUGGUAAAUAAAGUUACCCACUUAUCAUUUGCAUAUUGGGUGCAUUAUGCACAUCAGACUUGAGGUAUGAACUAGGUCUAGAUAUCUGGCCACCUCAACCACGAUGAUGGGGGUACGUUGACUACAAAAUCUAAUAUGUCAACUGGAUUAGGGAACUAGCGGUGCUAGAUGGUUGUAGUUUCCAAACUGUACUAGAGAUUUGUACAGUUUCCAGCAAGCAACCAAAAGCGAAUUACAAUGCAUUUUAAUUUUGAAUUUGUUAAUGUUAUAUCAGUGGACAUUAACAAGUUCUAUGACAUUGCAACAUCUUUAUAGUUUUUCUAGUUUACUUCUUUUCAUGCUCCUUAUUUAUAUUUUCACUGCAGCAUAUUGAGAUGCUUCUUUACAAUUUCUUCACACUGGCUUUGGUUUUGAAUAUAAUAAAAUAUAUUCUCUAUCUUUUACUAAUUAAAAAUUAAUUUGGUUUAUCCAAUGAAUUGAGAAUAUUGAAAUUCUUCUUUCUUGCUCUCUAAUCCUUUUUUCCGUUCCAAUUAUUUUUUUUUUCAAUAUGUCCGAGAUAUUUCUUAUAGGAAAAGCUUUGAAUUACAUCAAAGUAUUGCACAUGUAUCUGAACUUCCAUGCGUUCUCUUAUCCAUGAAUCUUAAGCCAUAUCAUUAGUAUACCUAACCAGAAAACUCAGUGGUGGACCUAUUUCAAGUUCCAAGGCUUAUACACCUCUUGAUCUACAAAAUGAUCAGUAUUAUGCUCUACUGACAUGUCGCUUUUCUUCCACCUGGAGAACUAUGCAACAUUUGCUUGCAGAUGUAAUUUCAUGCGGUUUGCACGAGCAUAGGUAACUGAGCUUUAUCGAACUGAAUAUCAAUUUGUUCAUUAAUCUCCAGUUCAUUUACAGCUUGAAAUAAAAUUGAUUUGUGUGUG
Zingiber officinale is the source of this 3994-nucleotide long non-coding RNA. RefSeq lists it as uncharacterized. The record is from RefSeq and is a predicted model, not a curated record. The transcript is spliced from 2 exons. NCBI's taxonomy places the organism in Eukaryota, Viridiplantae, Streptophyta, Magnoliopsida, Zingiberales, Zingiberaceae.